This 450-nucleotide ribosomal RNA is filed under the name uncultured bacterium. Its description in RNAcentral is "partial 16S ribosomal RNA". It matches the Rfam family "Bacterial small subunit ribosomal RNA", at positions 354 to 796 of the family's 1533-position model. The record is from RNAcentral.
GUGGGGAAUUUUGGACAAUGGGCGCAAGCCUGAUCCAGCCAUGCCGCGUGCAGGAUGAAGGCCUUCGGGUUGUAAACUGCUUUUGUACGGAACGAAAAGACUUCUUCUAAUACAGGAGGUCCAUGACGGUACCGUAAGAAUAAGCACCGGCUAACUACGUGCCAGCAGCCGCGGUAAUACGUAGGGUGCAAGCGUUAAUCGGAAUUACUGGGCGUAAAGCGUGCGCAGGCGGUUAUAUAAGACAGAUGUGAAAUCCCCGGGCUCAACCUGGGAACUGCAUUUGUGACUGUAUAGCUAGAGUACGGUAGAGGGGGAUGGAAUUCCGCGUGUAGCAGUGAAAUGCGUAGAUAUGCGGAGGAACACCGAUGGCGAAGGCAAUCCCCUGGACCUGUACUGACGCUCAUGCACGAAAGCGUGGGGAGCAAACAGGAUUAGAAACCCUUGUAGUCC